This 1180-nucleotide ribosomal RNA is filed under the name Salmonella enterica subsp. enterica. RNAcentral's name for it is "bacterial LSU rRNA". It matches the Rfam family "Bacterial large subunit ribosomal RNA", at positions 1 to 1211 of the family's 2925-position model. The record is from RNAcentral. Lineage: Bacteria; Pseudomonadati; Pseudomonadota; Gammaproteobacteria; Enterobacterales; Enterobacteriaceae.
GGGUUGUGAGGUUAAGCGACUAAGCGUACACGGUGGAUGCCCUGGCAGUCAGAGGCGAUGAAGGGCGUGCUAAUCUGCGAUAAGCGCCGGUAAGGUGAUAUGAACCGUUAUAACCGGCGAUACCCGAAUGGGGAAACCCAGUGUGACUCGUCACACUAUCAUUAACUGAAUCCAUAGGUUAAUGAGGCGAACCGGGGGAACUGAAACAUCUAAGUACCCCGAGGAAAAGAAAUCAACCGAGAUUCCCCCAGUAGCGGCGAGCGAACGGGGAGGAGCCCAGAGCCUGAAUCAGCAUGUGUGUUAGUGGAAGCGUCUGGAAAGGCGCGCGAUACAGGGUGACAGCCCCGUACACAAAAGCGCAUGUGCUGUGAGCUCGAUGAGUAGGGCGGGACACGUGGUAUCCUGUCUGAAUAUGGGGGGACCAUCCUCCAAGGCUAAAUACUCCUGACUGACCGAUAGUGAACCAGUACCGUGAGGGAAAGGCGAAAAGAACCCCGGCGAGGGGAGUGAAAAAGAACCUGAAACCGUGUACGUACAAGCAGUGGGAGCACAGGUUUACCUGUGUGACUGCGUACCUUUUGUAUAAUGGGUCAGCGACUUAUAUUCUGUAGCAAGGUUAACCGAAUAGGGGAGCCGGAGGGAAACCGAGUCUUAACUGGGCGUUAAGUUGCAGGGUAUAGACCCGAAACCCGGUGAUCUAGCCAUGGGCAGGUUGAAGGUUGGGUAACACUAACUGGAGGACCGAACCGACUAAUGUUGAAAAAUUAGCGGAUGACCUGUGGCUGGGGGUGAAAGGCCAAUCAAACCGGGAGAUAGCUGGUUCUCCCCGAAAGCUAUUUAGGUAGCGCCUCGUGAAUUCAUCUCCGGGGGUAGAGCACUGUUUCGGCUAGGGGGCCAUCCCGGCUUACCAACCCGAUGCAAACUGCGAAUACCGGAGAAUGUUAUCACGGGAGACACACGGCGGGUGCUAACGUCCGUCGUGAAGAGGGAAACAACCCAGACCGCCAGCUAAGGUCCCAAAGUCAUGGUUAAGUGGGAAACGAUGUGGGAAGGCCCAGACAGCCAGGAUGUUGGCUUAGAAGCAGCCAUCAUUUAAAGAAAGCGUAAUAGCUCACUGGUCGAGUCGGCCUGCGCGGAAGAUGUAACGGGGCUAAACCAUGCACCGAAGCUGCGGCAGCGA